Molecule: long non-coding RNA, 2379 nt
Filed under: Vigna radiata
Lineage: Eukaryota; Viridiplantae; Streptophyta; Magnoliopsida; Fabales; Fabaceae
Description: long non-coding RNA (VRAD_LNC001813)
Source: RNAcentral
AAUUUUCCAAUCACACGUUUCACUAAUUUUUAACAAGAUUACAAUGAGUACAACCCAAUCCUAGUAUACAAGUAUUAUCAAUCACUUAUGAUUUCUUACUCAACCUAACUAGACUAAGUUUAACCAAUCAUGAUAUCAACCUUAGACAAUUGUCUAGGCCGUUUAACUCAACUAAAUUAAACAAUACAAGUAUUUUUAUCCACUUUUGAAUAUACAAACACAACCAUUGUUUUGAGUACAAGUAUAAAUUCAAAUAACUCUCAAAAAGAGGAUAAAUUCCAUAAAAUGGAAUCUAAAAAAUUGUAAAGUUUUUUCUCUUAUAUGAAAGCUUUAGACGAUGUGAGCUUGUAGAGAACCAGAGUGAGAAUUCAAUAAUCUCUUCUAAAAAUAAAUCUUCUUUCUUCUCUUAUGCGAGUCCUCCUUAUGGAGCAUUCUUCAAGAGAUGAUCGUUACUCAAAGAGAGUUGACCUUUUGAGAGUAGGUGGCUUCUGGUACAAAGAUUUGUACUAUUCUACAUCUUGGGAAGAACAACAUUGCUUUAGUAGUGAACUUGUACGACUCUCACAAGACAUAAAGCUUUAAGGAAACAUUCUAGGAAUGUCUUCCUAUUUCUCAAUGACCUUCUGAUCCAUGUGCACAACUUUUGAAUAAAGCUUGGUGUUAUCAUUAUCUGCAUUGAAAAAGAGAGCAAAAGCAUACAAGAAAACGGAGGUACAAUACAUUUAUGCAUUUAAUGUUCUUUACGUUAAGAAAGCGUUUAGGCAUGAUUCGUAGUACAAACGUUUAGUGUGAAUAUGUGCUUUUUUGAAGUAGUAUUUCAUUUAUAAAGUAUUCAACUUUUACUACUACUUGUUCUAGACAUGUUUUUGUCAAUCUUUUAUAACUGACACGUCAUUGUUUAUCUUGCAUUUUUAUGACGAGAGUUGGGAUGUUAUGUUCGGGGAUUUGUUAUUUAUUUUAAAAGUUUUUCGAUUUAGCAUUUUUAUGUAAAAGUGUUAUUUUGAGAUUUCCAAACAACAUUUAUGGUUGUUUAGCUUCCCAUUUUUAAUCGAAUAAGAUUGUUAUCUUUCAUAAAUGUUUUAUCGAAAGGUUUUGAAAAAUAUUGCACCAUGACAUCUCAAAAAAUCAGGAUGUUAUACAAUACAAGUCUUCAUAACAAUUUUUUCGUAAUGAGAACUCUUGAAAUUUGAUUUUGACAUCAUCAAAACUUUUAUGGUUUUAUCAUUUUGCUAACUUAAAAUAGUCUUGAAGUUGCACCAUAAACCAGGGAAAGCAAAAAAGCAAAAUCCAAUCCCAUAACAUAAUAUAACCAGCGUUAGUUUUCAUUAAAGCAGUUGCACCAGCCCAAAAAAAACUACUUCCGGCAAACUUCUAGCCCAUUUGGUCACACACUUAAAAACAACCUACGAACCAGUUGACCGUGAAAAAUGGCUGCACCAAACCCAACUUUGCACCAGAUUUUUAUUCACACACAACCAGCAUAUUAACCAAACCAAAAUGCCACUUAGACAAAAUGCCUAAUCCAACCAAAACAGUCCAUUUAUACCAUUCAUGAAUCAAGCAUCAUAAACAGAUUUAAAAAACAUAUAUAUAUAUAUAUAUAUGAUCAACCAAAAAGCCUUAAAAUACAUCAUGCAGUUAACUAUUAAAUUACCACUCUAGUUUAGCAUUAUUCAACACAAACCAAAAUAUUUUUGACCUGAACAUUUCAGCACCAAUCAGUGUUUUAUUCCACUCUAAAGACCAAAAUUCCAGAAGCAAACAACCACUAAUCCACGUGAUUUCCAUUGCAGAGCUAUGUAGCUUCUUUUGGAGAAAAUUAUCAAUUAUCUAACCAGUAAAUUUAUCUUUGCAUGAAAAAAAGUUUUGUAUCAUCCACUCAUGCACAUACACAACAUUGCCUAAAACCAAGGUUCCUAAUCAGACCAAAACUAAUACUGCACUAGAGAAAAAAAAAUUCCAUACACCAAGCUGCAUGUUAAAACUAAUUUUCAUAAACCUUCAAUACACCAACCAAUAAUAAUGAAAACAAACACUGCUCUUAAAUUUCAAACCUAAGCAGGGGAAUUUAUGAGGUUAACUCAAAAUAAUAUGAAGAUAGGCAACAAAAUUCUGGAUGGAAUGUUCCAUAACCAGAAAGGUAAUAAGAAACAAUGGAGAAAUCAGUAUGGAAAUAAGCUGGUAAAAGCACCAAUAUUUUAUAUACACUAUAAAAGUAAUGUUCAACAAAGAUAAAUAGAUCAUAAGACAUAUUAAACAUCAUCACCUUCCUCUUCCGAGCACAUAUUGAUUGAUGGCCCUUAGAUGUUUUCCAAUAGCCUGGAAAUUAUAUGAAAAACCUACAAGUUAAUCUAUAUCACUUUUCUGAGUCAAUCUAUU